GGCAUGCUGUCCUUGACCCAUUCUCAAACUUUAAAUGGGUAAGAUCCAAUGGUUGCUUUUUUGGACUUUUGGAAUAAAUGG
RNAcentral lists this ribosomal RNA (81 nucleotides) under Alexandrium margalefii. Its description in RNAcentral is "partial Eukaryotic large subunit ribosomal RNA". Lineage: Eukaryota; Dinophyceae; Gonyaulacales; Pyrocystaceae. The record is from RNAcentral.